Molecule: small nucleolar RNA, 85 nt
Filed under: Nelumbo nucifera (sacred lotus)
Lineage: Eukaryota; Viridiplantae; Streptophyta; Magnoliopsida; Proteales; Nelumbonaceae
Description: small nucleolar RNA snoR116
Rfam family: small nucleolar RNA snoR116
Source: Rfam by way of RNAcentral
GGGCGAUGACGACGAUGAUUAUACCAUCAAACUAUGAAAGCUUCAGGGCUUGUUGAUGUCAUCAAAAUCAUUACUAUCUGAGCCU